Molecule: ribosomal RNA, 484 nt
Filed under: uncultured bacterium
Lineage: Bacteria
Description: bacterial SSU rRNA
Rfam family: Bacterial small subunit ribosomal RNA
Source: RNAcentral
GUGACGAGUUUGAUCAUGGCUCAGGAUGAACGCUGGCGGCGUGCCUAACACAUGCAAGUCGAACGGGAGACCAAUUUCGAUUGGUUGAGAGUGGCGAACGGGUGAGUAACACGUAGCUAACCUGCCCUCAAGACGUGGAUAACUAAUGGAAACAGUAGCUAAUACACGAUAAGCUCACGAGUUGUAAAUGCUUGUGAGAAAAGUUAAGGCGCUUGAGGAUGGGGCUGCGAGCCAUCAGCUAGUUGGUGAGGUAAACGGCCCACCAAGGCGACGAUCCAUAGCCGGCCUGAGAGGGUGAACGGCCACAUUGGGACUGAGACACGGCCCAAACUCCUACGGGAGGCAGCAGUGGGGAAUAUUGCACAAUGGGGGAAACCCUGAUGCAGCGACGCCGCGUGGAGGAAGAAGGUUUUCGGAUUGUAAACUCCUGUCGUUAGGGACGAUAAUGACGGUACCUAACAAGAAAGCACCGGCUAACUACGUG